UUGGAGGGCAAGUCUGGUGCCAGCAGCCGCGGUAAUUCCAGCUCCAAUAGCGUAUAUUAAAGUUGUUGCAGUUAAAAAGCUCGUAGUUGAAUUUCGGGAUCAAUAUGCUGGUCGUGCCUUUGGUACGUACUGGUAUUAUUGGUUUCUCCUUUCUGAUGAAUCACGAUGUCAUUAAUUUGGUGUCAUGGGGAAUCAGGACUGUUACUUUGAAAAAAUUAGAGUGUUUAAAGCAGGCUUACGCUUGAAUACAUUAGCAUGGAAUAAUGAAAUAGGACGUUUAAUUCUAUUUUGUUGGUUUCUAGGAUUGACGUAAUGAUUAAUAGGGAUAGUUGGGGGCAUUAGUAUUCAAUUGUCAGAGGUGAAAUUCUUGGAUUUAUUGAAGACUAACUACUGCGAAAGCAUUUGCCAAGGAUGUUUUCAUUAAUCAAGAACGAAAGUUAGGGGAUCGAAGACGAUCAGAUACCGUCGUAGUCUUAACCAUAAACUAUGCCGACUAGGGAUCGGAUGAUGUUAAUUUUUUAAUGACUCAUUCGGCGCCUUACGGGAAACCAAAGUGUUUGGGUUC
This 565-nucleotide ribosomal RNA is filed under the name uncultured Glomeromycotina. RNAcentral's name for it is "SSU rRNA". It matches the Rfam family "Eukaryotic small subunit ribosomal RNA", at positions 548 to 1114 of the family's 1831-position model. The record is from RNAcentral. Lineage: Eukaryota; Fungi; Glomeromycota.